CCCCGCCGCGCGCUCCGCCCCCAACUUCUCAUUCACACUUUCCCCCCACCCCCCUCCCUUCUAAGAAGGCUGAUUUCUGGCAGAGGCGGGGGCGCCGCUUCGGGAGAGCGGGCAGUUCUAGGAGGCCGACCUGGAGAGCCUCCCGGUUCCCCUUCCCCUUUUCCCGGACCCCGCGGGGACACCCCCUCGCCGCCACCCGGGCCUCCCCGAGGGCCCAACUGCGGGUCAGGCGGCCCGGGCCAGCCGAAAGGGAAGUGGGGCUACCCCACAGCCAGGCAGCGGGGCUGGGGUCAGACCCGGGAGCCGGAGGUUGGAGACGUGCGACAGUCACCUGCGGGCAGAUUCCAGAGGGGAGACCCAGGGCUGCAGGGGACGCCCCUUCGUGGCAGCUACCCAGCCUCGGCCCACUGCCAGUGUUACGUGGCUGCAUGACCAUACACUUCUGGGUAGAGCCCAGUGGAAGACAAAGAAGACUCAAGGAAUAGCCCUUGAGGGCUCAGGAGCUAUACAGAUGGGAUAGAGGGUGUGAGUGCUGGGAAGCCCCAUCCAUGGCUCGCUGGAGAUUAGAGGCCUGUUAAUCUGAAGACAAAGGAAUGAAGACGAAAACGUUUCUGAAAAUAUCCUGAACCAACUUUGAAGGCAGAGAAGUGGGCUAGAAGAAGUGGGGUUGGAGCCUCCACCAAGGACAAGAAGGGUCUGCAGGCAUUGAGGCAGCAACUCAGCCUGACCUCUGCCUCUCCCAAGCUAAAGGGCAAGGAAGGCUAUGGACUUUGGGGCAUUUAUUUUGAGUCUCUUUCC
RNAcentral lists this long non-coding RNA (798 nucleotides) under Homo sapiens (human). Its description in RNAcentral is "HSALNT0245828". Lineage: Eukaryota; Metazoa; Chordata; Mammalia; Primates; Hominidae. The record is from RNAcentral.